RNAcentral lists this transfer RNA (73 nucleotides) under Microbacterium sp. CH12i. It matches the Rfam family "tRNA". From Rfam's summary of the family: Transfer RNA (tRNA) molecules are approximately 80 nucleotides in length. Their secondary structure includes four short double-helical elements and three loops (D, anti-codon, and T loops). Further hydrogen bonds mediate the characteristic L-shaped molecular structure. tRNAs have two regions of fundamental functional importance: the anti-codon, which is responsible for specific mRNA codon recognition, and the 3' end, to which the tRNAs corresponding amino acid is attached (by aminoacyl-tRNA synthetases). tRNAs cope with the degeneracy of the genetic code in two manners: having more than one tRNA (with a specific anti-codon) for a particular amino acid; and 'wobble' base-pairing, i.e. permitting non-standard base-pairing at the 3rd anti-codon position. RNAcentral also lists the same sequence under 3 other names. Lineage: Bacteria; Bacillati; Actinomycetota; Actinomycetes; Micrococcales; Microbacteriaceae. The record is from Rfam by way of RNAcentral.
GCCGACUUAGCUCAGCUGGUAGAGCACCUGUCUUGUAAACAGGAUGUCGCGGGUUCGAACCCCGCAGUCGGCU